AUUCCUGUGGUUUCUCAAUGUAGGAAUGGAUGGGAAAUAAAAAUUGCCAGUGAGAUUUAAAAAACUAAGUAAAAUUCUACCAGUGUAAAAGGUGCCUGAGAGAAACCAUUUCAGAAAGUUACAGUUCAAAGUUUUUACGUAAUCCUCAGGAUGGUUUAUAGUCGAAUUUAUGAAAACAUCAACACUACCAGAAAAAUCACAUUUUAUAGCAUGUACAACAUAUAAAUAAAUAUAUGCCAGCUGAAAAGAGAGUCUGGGAAUAAUAAAAUUAUAACUAGUUUGAUAAAUGCAAAAAGAGAAAUAGUAUCAAAAUUAAUCUCAGUAAUUCAUUAAAGCAACAAAAAGAUAUUGACUGGAAAAGAUUUAAAAGGUGCAUUUGACUAACAUCUCUUCCUAAUUACCUGUCUUAGGUUAUGGAAUAGAAACUAGUAGACAUGUUAUUGGUCUGCUGAAGUGAACUCUUUUUCUUUAUAGAGAAAAUUUAAGGAAGGUAUCAGUCUAAAUGACACAUAUAUACAUCAGAGUAUAAACCCUUUUUUACGUUUUCUUGUUAUAUAAAUAAACUAUAAUAAUAGAGUUGGCUGGGUUUCUGAGGUGAAAUCCACAGUAAUAUUACUAGGUAGUUCAACAAGCUAAACCAAAUAGUACAGAAAGAGGGUGUAGCUGUUUUAUACUUUUCAUAACAUUUGAGAGUAAGACAUUCGUCUAGGAUGUAAAUGAUCAGCAGGAAUUCAGAUCUGAAAUCUAUUGUCAAGAUAAGGACUGGGGCUCACAUUAUAAAACCUUCGGUAUGACCUUCCAGUACCUGUGGGAGACGGUUCCCCUGUAAUAGAGUUCUUUUGAAGGAGAAAGUUUAUACAAAAAUGAAAUCAGGCCUGUAGCGGAGAAACUCUAAAGUUUGGCGGUGCCCGUGUCAGAGCUGUCCUUCUGUUACAGAGAGCAUCUAGUACACCAGUUUAGAGCCAUCUCUUUACACGUUUCCUAGUUGCCUGCUAAACAGUACUUUGGAUCAUUAUCGUGUCCCACUAAAAUAUGUAAGUAGCUUUUUAUACUCUCUGAGGAGGAGUCUUUAGAUAAAUCUUAAAUUCCACUUCCAGUGACGAUUGAGAUCUUGGACCUGUUAACUUUGAGGAGGCUCGGGGCUCUUCUUUGUGCUCUUAGUUACAUCCUCACCUAAUCUCUCAGGUAGGAAUCUAAGUCUGUGUCCGUCAGCUCCAUAAGCAAGAAUUCUUUAAGGUUGUAGAUAGCCUGGUGAUUUUAGAAGGGUUUGGUGAUUCUCCUUGGCAGAAGUUUAUGGGCAUCUCUUCAGGUAUUCAGUAGCACGGCUUUUGGGGUCGUAAUCUCAGGUUUGAUGCCUGUUUCCCCCGAAGCAGGAACAUUUUCUUGAUUAAUACAGGUGGAAAUCUGGGGAGGUUUUCUUCUUACAGAAGAUGCAUGCAUGGAGAGAGAAUUUGAGGCAUUUCUUCUAAAGAAUCAUACCUGCUGAACAGAAACUUGGACAGUUCUUUGUAAUUCACUGGUUUGCGGUUUAGCCUGUCCUAAUUACAAGAGGUAAUGGUAUUUGUCAAGCCUUUGUAAGACUGGAUUUUUCAUAGUAGAAACUCAUCUUCUACAAUGCAGUUAUUAUAAUUGAAAUGUUACCCUAAAAUUGGAUGAUUUACAAAAACCAAUAAGAUGGAUUUUACCUAUCAACUGUUUUUUAAAAAUAGGAGCAUAUUCUGUAAUAUUUGCUGGUAGCAAUUGCUGUAACAAUUGUUUUAUUGAAAAGAUUGAGUCUCGGAACAGGCUACUUCUACUGUUUAUGACAGAGAGAAAAAGGUGUGUGUGGUUGUCUUUCAGAUAAUUCAGUUCUUAAAAUUCUUAAAAUCAUAAGGAUUUAUUUGAAGAGAUUGCUUUUAAAAAGUUCAAAAUUUUAUGUAGAGGUAGCUCUUGUUUUACCCCAUUGAUAGAUAGUGCCUUCUUAGCUAUAACAAAAGCCCAAUGAGACCAGACAAUCCCAAGUAAAGAAUACAUCUUUUAGAGUCUGAUAUUCCCUUCCUAGUACUAUUGGAGAUGAUGUUGCUUUGAUUUAUUCAUAGAGUAUUUUAAUUGUAGGAACUCUUGAAGAAAAUGGUUGGUUUCUCCUUAACCUGGUUGGUUAAAGUUGCAUUUUAUUAAAAUUGGGUAAAACUAUAAUCAUGAAAACUGGGUAUUUGUAUGUAACUGCCCAUGUUCUUGUAAAAAGCUAUGUCAUAUGCAGAUGAUAAAGACCAAACAAUGGCUGCACUGUAGGUCCGCUUCUUACUUAUACUUGUUCUGCUUCUGUUUAUGUUGUAGACAAUGAAAUUCUAGCAACAUGCUUCAAUUCUGUUAUCUUUUUGAUACUUAUGAAAAUGUAUUAGGUUUUACUAUAUUGUGCUUUUCAAAGCAUAACUCUUAAGAACUUUGUUUUUGCAUAUCGUUUGCUAAUACUUUAUUUUAAUAAAUCUCAAAAUCUGC
Molecule: long non-coding RNA, 2478 nt
Filed under: Sus scrofa (pig)
Lineage: Eukaryota; Metazoa; Chordata; Mammalia; Artiodactyla; Suidae
Description: lncRNA (ENSSSCG00015000824.1)
Source: RNAcentral